This 253-nucleotide ribosomal RNA is filed under the name uncultured bacterium. RNAcentral's name for it is "partial 16S ribosomal RNA". It matches the Rfam family "Bacterial small subunit ribosomal RNA", at positions 524 to 776 of the family's 1533-position model. The record is from RNAcentral.
UACGUAGGCAGCAAGCGUUGUUCGGAGUUACUGGGCGUAAAGAGUGCGUAGGCGGUCCUGUAAGUUUGGUGUGAAAUCUCCCGGCUCAACUGGGAGGGUGCGCCGAAGACUGCAGGGCUUGAGUAUGGGAGAGGUAAGCGGAAUUCCUGGUGUAGCGGUGAAAUGCGUAGAUAUCAGGAGGAACACCUGUGGUGUAGACAGCUUACUGGACCACUUCUGACGCUGAGACACGAAAGCGUGGGUAGCAAACAGG